RNAcentral lists this long non-coding RNA (619 nucleotides) under Homo sapiens (human). Its description in RNAcentral is "non-protein coding lnc-ATP6V1C1-7:1". Lineage: Eukaryota; Metazoa; Chordata; Mammalia; Primates; Hominidae. The record is from RNAcentral.
CCCAGAAAGAGCUGCCAGUAGGAGGAGGGCCAGCCUCACUGGUGAUUGGAGUCCAGCAGUCCCACUGAUUGGGAGUGCUGAGCCAAGCCCAUGUCGUGCUUCGCUGAUGCAUGGCUGGGCUGAAGAAAGAGCUCUUUGAAUUUUUCAUAGAAAAGACUGGUGCCCAAAAGGCCAGGGCUCGAGAAUGAGGCUGCCUCAAGCACAGUGCUUGGCAGGACACCAGGGCUGAAAGGUACAGCAAAGUCCUCCCAGAAUCGCUUGUCAGAGCAGGGAUUUGCAUCACAGACUGGCCACUGCAAAGACAGAUGGGAACUCACAGGUUUUGUGUGUGUGUUUGUGGUUCACUGCUGAUGGACGCAUGUCAGAAGCCACCUGAGCCUUGGCCCAGCCUUCAUGUGGAGUGAAAACCCAGACCUGUGUGAGCAGCAGGUACUUGAAGCAAGAGAAGCAAGGCCGAGCCUCCAGGGCUUUGUCAGAGGCUCCUUCCUUCCUGGAAUCCAAUUGUACAACCAGGAGCCAGAGGUCUUGGUGGCCGGAUGUGGGUCUAAUCCUGGUUCCAUGGCCUCCCAACUGAGUGAAUGAGAUUAUAAUGAUAAAAUAUAAUUUACUGUGUACCCGG